CGGCGGUCGUAAAAGGGCCCCGGCGGCGAGCGCGGGCUGCCGGUUGCUAGGGACUGUAAGGGUGACACGUCUCUCUGUCUGUCUGUCCCCGGGCCUGCGUGGGCCUGGCUGGGGGGUAGGGAGGGGCACGGCGGGUAGGUCGGGCUCCCCGAGUCCUGCUCCCGCCCCUUUGCCCCGCCGGCGACGGCAGAGCGAGGCAGUGAGGUCCUGCCAGCCGGCGGCAACCGGCUCGGGAUGGAGUCACCGGGAGCAGAGGAGGGAGGCAGUUAAAAAUAGCAGGAAGCCUCGGUCUCCAGAAGUGUGUGGCCGCUGCCCACGUGUGGAAAGUGAAGGUUACGUAAGUCCCCUCCGUGUGCACGCUGGAGGAGCGUCAGCUGGGACCUGGCGGGUGCAGGAGUGCAGAGCGAGCUGAGCUAAAGGAAAAGGCCUGGCUCUAUCUCCGUCACUGACCCUCUGCUCAGCCCAUUGGGACACCUAACCUAGUUCAAGGAGCAAAGGAUGAAGGGCUCCAGACUAGAGAAUAAAGCCACUUGAAGUGGGGCCGGUCUGCCUCAGCUCAAUACAACGCUGAGUCCCCGUAGCAGGAAGGAAGCCACAGGGCCACCUUGGGUUCCAAGGACUCAGCCUCAGUGGGACUGGUUUCUAAACGAAACAAAAGCAAGUAAGCUGACAUUUGCCAGCUAAACUGUGAUGUCGGAGGGUGGCUGACCCGGCCAGCUGACCCAGUGCCUGGAAGCUGAGGCUGGAGGAGCGCCGUCCACGGUGUCAUUAGAUACCAAAGGUGCUAGGUGGUGCUGCCGGCAACAGAUAAGAUAAGGGGUCUCCAGUGCUCACACCUCCACAGCAUCGCGGACGCUGAAUCGGGAGGGAUGCAUCCAUCGCAGGCUCUGCUCUAUGCCAGGAGGAGGAUGACCAAACAGAGAUUCCCGGGAGGUAGACAGGACAAUUGCCAUGCUUCCUUGAGACGGUGAGGUUCAAUCCCUGAGGGACUCUGUGCUCAGAGGCUGGGGAAGGUCAGCUAUGUAGACGGCAGAGCCCGGGGCCACAGGGCCAGGCAUCCCCAUCUCAGGGGGGAGGUUCUAGAAGGGCUCCAGUCAGGGAUGCAGGACAGGCAAGCACAGAACUGGCUGGAAGGGGCCCUGGCACUUACAGGAAAAAGGUGCCACAAGCAUCUCCAUGGGCCCCCUGGUCCCAGAGGCCACAAUCAAACCCUGAGGCUGUAGAAGACACCAUGUUCCCUUCAGCAAGUAACUGUUUUCUUUAAAAAAUAAAAUAAGAUUAAUGGUGCAUGCUCAUUGUACACGAUGCUAUUUAAAAAAAGACAUUUUCAUACAAAUCUGUAUUGUGUAUCAGGUAGGUUCCUCCCAUGGCCCCUACUCUCUCCCUUUUCUCUUUUUGAAAAACAACUUCUGGAUUUUUCCCAGGUCCUAGUAGACUCUAAAAGCCUGGUCAUGGGAUCCAACACAGCCUGAUAGUUUACAAAACUCAGCAAGCACACUUGGAUUUGGAUGUGCCCAGCAGGGGUGCCAUGACUUGGGAGUGGAUAUCUUGUCAUCCAGCUGGCCAGGUCCCCAAGCACAGCUACCUGGUAUGGGAAAUAGCCUGUGCCGGGGAAACCUGCCCACUGUACUUUGCCUGAGGCCUCAGGAGGUGAGGGUGCUCUCUGGCUAGCAAGUCUGAUUUGUAGCCAGCUCUAUAGAGCGAACACCUGAAGGUACUGAGCUACAUUCUGGGCUCUCCACAGUGGGGAAUGGGUAGAGGCCCCUCCCAGAACUGCCUUGCCUAUAGUAAAUUAUUAUCAGUGGCUCUGCAACACCAAGAACAGAUAACUGCCCGGAUCGAGCAGGGGUAGAAACCAGGAAAUCACAAGGAAAGUUUCUGCUGUUCUUUGGAUCUGGAAUUUCCCCAAGGGCUAAUAUACUAAAGGCCUUUAGUCCUUAUCUUAAAGCUAUGGGGGAAAUAGAAGCUUUAGAACAUGGGGAGGUUAUUGGAGACAUGCCCUGAACGAGGGUCAUGACACUCAGUUCUUCUUUCCCUCGUGUUCUAGCCACGAGCUUCCUGUGCCACAUGAGCCCACUGUGGGAGCUAUGCUACCACACGGUCAGAGCAAUGGGACCCAUCAUAGACUGAAUUCUCUACAGCUGAACCUUUCUUGUUUUUAAUGAUUUCUGUUAUUUUGACACAGUAACAGAAAGCUAGCACAAUUUCCAAACAAGUCAAGUCAUAGGUAGGAAAAGGAACAUGGGGACACUAAAUCAGUUGGGAAUACCAGUGGGCCCUACUUAGGGGAUAGGACUAUCUGUGGUAGCUGUUUGAGUUUCCUGGAGCUGCUACAACAAACUCCCACCAAUGGAUGGCUUAACUAGACACUGUUCUCAGAGUUGUGGGGGCUGGGCAUCCAUGACCAAGGUGUCAGCAGGAGUAUUGGUCACAUUUCCGCCAACCUGUUCAGAACACCUAAAGAAAACAGAGGAGGAAAGAUUUAUUAGCUCACGGUUCAGUCCGUCAUGACAGGGAAGGCAGAGCAGAGGGGCUUAUUCAAAAGAGCAUGGACUGGAGUGGCUCACAUCACAGCAGACCAAGAAACAGCGAGACGGCCAGAUCCAGGGCUGGGCGUCACUGUCAGUGGCCUGCCUUUCACGACCUACAUUUGUUGUGGAACAUUAAGUUGUGUUACAUUUGUUUACACUGUGGAACAAUUGCUCUUAUAAUGAUGCAAAGAUUUGCUGCGUUCUUUGACGUUGCAUUUGUUUAACUCUGUGAAGCUGUGGUACUGUGCCUGUC
Molecule: long non-coding RNA, 2784 nt
Organism: Peromyscus leucopus (white-footed mouse)
Lineage: Eukaryota; Metazoa; Chordata; Mammalia; Rodentia; Cricetidae
Exons: 4
Source: RefSeq, a predicted model, not a curated record